Molecule: long non-coding RNA, 1887 nt
Filed under: Homo sapiens (human)
Lineage: Eukaryota; Metazoa; Chordata; Mammalia; Primates; Hominidae
Description: HSALNT0169630
Source: RNAcentral
CAGCUGUCAAUCCUGGUCUUACAAGCCCGUGGUAAUAGGAGACGUGCAAUCAUUAAUCUAGCUCUGGGAAGAAUUACCUUUCCAACUUUUUUUUUUUUUUUAAAGAAACAGUACAUCACAGCCCACAUAUACAGACAGAGGUGGGCAUCAGAGUUGAUUUACGCCUCAUCCAUCAAACUGAAAUAAAUGUUAUUCCAUGGAAAUGAAACCAACACUCACAGACUGAGGUAGUAAAUUCCCUUGCUGAACCCUGACUGAGGGGUGCUCCCAUUUCUCACUUCCCCCUCUUGUCUGAAGGUGACACUACACCCUGCCACCAGCAGCGUAAGUGCCUUUAGUAGCUCUUCCUCCCGAUGAGUGAUCAUGGGUUGUGUAUGGCCAGCCACUUGCUUUCUUCCUGAUUCCUCUCAACAUCUGGUCACAGCUGGCAGCCUCUUCCAGUGACAUUUUGGACCGUAAGUGGAUCAAGACGCAGCCUUGUCAGCCCCCACAUCUCAGGAUGCUCCAGGGAUCUUGGAAAUAUCUCAAAUAUAAACCAGAAUAUCUUAAACUUGAGGAUGUGUUGAGCAGAUAUGUGACUGCAACGCCAGUGAUCCAGUAGAUAAAAUGGGAAAGCAGAGUCCAUCCCCUAGAGCUUGGGAGGGGCCAAGCUGGUCUCUGAGGAUGGUGAAAAGCAAGAGGGAGGUGACCGUUCACUUGGUCCAGUGCGCUCCACUCCAAUAUUCACUAACGGGAACACGGCUCCUCAGGUGCUGGGGAGGGAAGUAAUCUCAGAAGCACUGAACACUGCUCCUACUUUUCCAAGAUAAUCAUGUGUGGCCUGGGCAGGUCCUCAGGCCCCGUGAGGUCCAGCCUCAGCAGAGUGUCACAUCAGAAACUUUCAAGCAACAACAAAUGACACCAAGAAUCUCAGUCUCCUUUGGAAGAAUAUCGGAGGCAAUCCAAAUUAUAAUAUCUAGAAACACUUCUUUAAAAACCCCUUUUCCAAAAGAAAUAAUUCCAUCAAAAAGUGGACUAAGGACCUGAAUAGAAUAGCCAAAAAACAUAUGAAAAAAUGCUCAACAUCAUUAAUGAUCAGGGAAAUGCAAAUCAAAAACCACAAUGUGAUACCACCUUACUCCUGCAAGAAGGGCCAUCAUUUAAAAAAAAAAAAAAAGACGUUGGCAUGGAUGUGGUGAACAGGAAACACUUCUACACUGCUAGUGGAAAUGUAAACUAGUACAACCGCUAUGGAAAACAGUGUGGAGAUUCCUUAAAGAACUAAAAGUAGAUCUACCAUUUCAUCCAGCAAUCCCACUACCGGGUAUCUACCCAGAGGAGAAGAAGUCACUAUAUGAAAAAGAUACUUGCACACACAUGUUUAUAGCAGCAUAAUUUGCAAUUGCAAAAAUAUGGAACCAGCCCAAAUGCCCAUCAACCAACAAGUGGAUAAAGAAAAUGUGAUAUAUAUAUAUGUAUAGCUAUAUAGAUAUAUACACACACACACACGGCAUGGAAUACUACUCAGCCAUAAACAGGAAUGAAAUAAUGGCAUUUGCAGCAACCUGGAUGGAGCUGGAGACCAUUAUUCUAAGCGAAGUCACUCGGGAAUGAAAAACCAAACAUCAUAUGUUCUCACAAGUGAGGACAUAAAGGCAUAAGAAUGAUACUGGACUCUGGGGACUUGGAGAAAGGGUGGGAAGGAGGUGAGGGGUAAAAGACUACACAUUGGGUACACUGUACACUGCUCGGGUGAUGGCUGCACCAGAGUCUCACAAAUCACCACUAAAGAACUUGUCCAUGUAAUCAAACACCACCUAGUUCCCCAAAACUAUUGAAAUAAUAAAUCAAUAAAACUAUUUUGCCUUCCUUUUUUUUCCUCCAGUUUUUACACAAUUGCUACAGGAG